CCUACGGGAGGCAGCAGUGGGGGAUAUUGCACAAUGGGGGAAACCCUGAUGCAGCGACGCCGCGUGAGUGAAGAAGUAUUUCGGUAUGUAAAGCUCUAUCAGCAGGGAAGAAAAAAGACGGUACCUGACUAAGAAGCACCGGCUAACUACGUGCCAGCAGCCGCGGUAAGACGGAGGGGGCAAGCGUUAGCCGGACUUACUGGGUGUAAAGGGAGCGUAGACGGGAAGACAAGUCGGAAGUGAAAUACCCGGGCUCAACCUGGGAACUGCAUUGGAAACUGUAUGGCUGGAGUGUUGGAGAGGGAAGCGGAAUUCCAGGUGUAGCGGUGAAAUGCGUAGAGAUUAGGAGGAACACCAGUGGCGAAGGCGGCUUACUGGACAGUAACUGACGUUGAGGUUCGAAAGCGUGGGGAGCAAACAGGAUUAGAUACCCGAGUAGUC
Molecule: ribosomal RNA, 441 nt
Filed under: uncultured bacterium
Lineage: Bacteria
Description: partial 16S ribosomal RNA
Rfam family: Bacterial small subunit ribosomal RNA
Source: RNAcentral